Molecule: ribosomal RNA, 292 nt
Filed under: uncultured eukaryote
Lineage: Eukaryota
Description: partial 18S ribosomal RNA
Rfam family: Eukaryotic small subunit ribosomal RNA
Source: RNAcentral
GGUUGAUCCUGCCAGUAGUCAUAUGCUUGUCUCAAAGAUUAAGCCAUGCAUGUCUAAGUAUAAACAUCUUUAUACAGUGAAACUGCGUACAGCUCAUUAUAUCAGUUAUAAUUUAUUUGAUGGUACCUUACUACAUGGAUAACCGUAGUAAUUCUAGAGCUAAUACAUGCGUAAAGUCCCGACUCGUGAGGGGAGGGAUGUAUUUAUUAGAUAAAAAAUCAAUGCGGGUUUUACCCGGUUUUUUGGUGAGUCAUAGUAACUGUUCGAAUCGCAUGGCUUUAUGCUGGCGAUA